GAGUGUAGAUAAUUUUUGGAAUCACAAUACUUGUGUAGCAACAUUCCAAGAAGGAGAAAUGACCUAAGAAGAAAUACAUAGGUGUGUGAAGGCUUUUGUCAGUCUUUAUCACUGUAAUGAGGGCAAGGUUUUCAAUAAUAGUGAAACAGUAGAAAAGUAGUGCUGGAGCUGCCCACAUUUCCAAAUGUGGAAGGCUGAAGAAAC
Molecule: non-coding RNA, 204 nt
Organism: Pelobates cultripes (western spadefoot toad)
Lineage: Eukaryota; Metazoa; Chordata; Amphibia; Anura; Pelobatidae
Source: the annotation of a GenBank genome assembly